CUAGUAGCUCUUAGUUUUAUUGGUCUCUUGAGCAUUGGAUUAGGCAAUGCUGCAAGGGUGACUAGAUAUGCUAGUACCUACGGAACGGGCUAUGGAGGAGGGGAGGGCGGGGGUGAAGUGAGUGGUGCUGGCUCAGGUUCUGGAGCUGGGUCUGGGUCUGGCCAGAGUUCUAGCAGUGGUGUACAUGCAAACGGUGCCGGUGGAGGCGGAGGGGGUGGUAGUAGCCAAUAUGGUGGCAGUGGUUCUGGGAGGGCAUCAGGUCUCGGUGCAGGCUAUGGUCAGUAUAGUGAAGGAAGAAAUGGUGAUGUUGGUGGAUUUUCUAGCACCGGCGGUACCGGCGGUGGCGAUGGUGGAGGACAAGCGAGCGGGGGUCAAGGAUCUAGUGGCCAUGGAUCGGGCAAAGGUGUUGCAUCCGGCUCUAGCGACGCCACUAAUAACUACUACACUGGAAACAGUAAUGCAGAGGCACAUGCUAAUACCAUCGGUAGUGGCAGUGGAUAUGGCACAAAUGGUGGUAGCGCUGGCGGUACCGGUGCUGGAUCUGCGUUUGCCGAUGCCAAUCCUUAA
This 567-nucleotide ribosomal RNA is filed under the name Triticum aestivum (bread wheat). RNAcentral's name for it is "partial small subunit ribosomal RNA". Lineage: Eukaryota; Viridiplantae; Streptophyta; Magnoliopsida; Poales; Poaceae. The record is from RNAcentral.